RNAcentral lists this ribosomal RNA (253 nucleotides) under uncultured bacterium. RNAcentral's name for it is "partial 16S ribosomal RNA". It matches the Rfam family "Bacterial small subunit ribosomal RNA", at positions 524 to 776 of the family's 1533-position model. The record is from RNAcentral.
UACGUAGGUGGCGAGCGUUGUCCGGAAUCACUGGGCGUAAAGGGCGCGUAGGCGGCGAUUCAAGUCGCAUGUGAAAGACCAGGGCUCAACUCUGGGGUGUCAUGCGAAACUGAAUGGCUUGAGUGCAGUAGAGGAAAGCGGAAUUCCUGGUGUAGCGGUAAAAUGCGUAGAGAUCAGGAGGAACACCGGUGGCGAAGGCGGCUUUCUGGGCUGCAACUGACGCUGAGGCGCGAAAGCGUGGGGAGCAAACAGG